CCUGUCCCUAGAGGCACUGCAUUUGUGACAGCUAUGUCACAUGUGCGUCUGUAGGUGGCAGAGAGAAGAGAGGCCGUCUAUGCUCAGCGUUCUGACCUGUAAACAUCUGAACAAUUUACUAAUUGUUACCUAACACU
This is a small nucleolar RNA of Mus pahari (shrew mouse), 137 nucleotides long. RefSeq annotates it as small nucleolar RNA SNORA17. NCBI's taxonomy places the organism in Eukaryota, Metazoa, Chordata, Mammalia, Rodentia, Muridae. The transcript has a single exon. The record is from RefSeq and is a predicted model, not a curated record.